Molecule: ribosomal RNA, 300 nt
Filed under: uncultured Pyrobaculum sp.
Lineage: Archaea; Thermoproteati; Thermoproteota; Thermoprotei; Thermoproteales; Thermoproteaceae
Description: bacterial SSU rRNA
Rfam family: Bacterial small subunit ribosomal RNA (bases 52-300)
Source: RNAcentral
GGUAGCGAGGGGCCGGGGGGCGGGGUAAGACGGAGGUGGGAAGCGGUGGCCGGAUUUAUGGGGCGGAAAGGGCGGGUAGGCGGCCGUACAGGUCAGCUGUGAAAACUCGAGGCUCAACCUCGAGACGUCGGUUGAAGCCGGACGGCGAGAGUCCGGAAGAGGAGAGUGGAAUUCCCGGUGUAGCGGUGAAAUGCGCAGAUAUCGGGAAGAACACCCGUGGCGAAGGCGGCUCUCUGGGACGGUACUGACGCUGAGACGCGAAAGCGUGGGGAGCGAACAGGAUUAGAUACCCCUGUAGUC